This 460-nucleotide ribosomal RNA is filed under the name uncultured bacterium. RNAcentral's name for it is "partial 16S ribosomal RNA". It matches the Rfam family "Bacterial small subunit ribosomal RNA", at positions 338 to 795 of the family's 1533-position model. The record is from RNAcentral.
CCUACGGGGGGCAGCAGUGAGGAAUAUUGGUCAAUGGGCGCGAGCCUGAACCAGCCAAGUCGCGUGAGGGAGGACGGCCCUACGGGUUGUAAACCUCUUUUGCCGGGGAGCAACGGGCGCAACGUGUGGCGUCACUGAGAGUACCCGGAGAAAAAGCAUCGGCUAACCCCGUGCCAGCAGCCGGGGUAAUACGGAGAAAGCGAGCGUUAAACGGAUUUAUUUGGUUAAAAGGGUGCGUGGGCGGUUCGUUAAGUCAGUGGUCAAAUUGAGGGUCUCAACCCCUUCCCGCCAUGGAAACUGGCGUUCUUGAGUGGAAGAGAAGUAUGCGGAAUGCGUGGUGUAGCGGUGAAAUGCAUAGAUAUCACGCAGAACCCCGAUUGCGAAGGCAGCAUGCCGGCUUCCGACUGACGCUGAAGCACGAAAGCGUGGGGAUCGAACAGGAUUAGAUACCCUGGUAGUC